Molecule: transfer RNA, 72 nt
Filed under: Schistocerca americana (American grasshopper)
Lineage: Eukaryota; Metazoa; Arthropoda; Insecta; Orthoptera; Acrididae
Description: tRNA-Pro
Rfam family: tRNA
About the family: Transfer RNA (tRNA) molecules are approximately 80 nucleotides in length. Their secondary structure includes four short double-helical elements and three loops (D, anti-codon, and T loops).
Source: RNAcentral
GGCUCGUUGGUCUAGGGGUAUGAUUCCUGCUUUGGGUGCAGGAGGUCCCGGGUACAAAUCCCGGACGAGCCC